RNAcentral lists this ribosomal RNA (307 nucleotides) under uncultured Gemmata sp. RNAcentral describes it as "bacterial SSU rRNA". It matches the Rfam family "Bacterial small subunit ribosomal RNA", at positions 910 to 1202 of the family's 1533-position model. The record is from RNAcentral. Lineage: Bacteria; Pseudomonadati; Planctomycetota; Planctomycetia; Gemmatales; Gemmataceae.
UUGACGGGGGCUCACACAAGCGGUGGAGCAUGUGGCUUAAUUCGAGGCUACGCGAAGAACCUUAUCCUGGACUUGACAUGUGCGAAAGCGCUCGGUAGUAGGAGCCGGAAACGGUAACGAACCUCGCAAGAGGGAGCCGAGUACAGGUGCUGCAUGGCUGUCGUCAGCUCGUGUCGUGAGAUGUCGGGUUAAGUCCCAUAACGAGCGAAACCCUUACCUUUAGUUGCCACCCGCAAGGAGCACUCUAGAGGGACUGCCGGUGUUAAACCGGAGGAAGGCGGGGAUGACGUCAAGUCCUCAUGGCCAC